UACAGAGGGUGCGAGCGUUGUCCGGAUUUAUUGGGCGUAAAGAGCGUGUAGGCGGCCAGACAGGUCCGUUGUGAAAACUCGAGGCUCAACCUCGAGAUGUCGAUGGAAACCGUCUGGCUAGAGUCCGGAAGAGGAGUGUGGAAUUCCUGGUGUAGCGGUGAAAUGCGCAGAUAUCAGGAGGAACACCAAUGGCGAAGGCAGCACUCUGGGACGUGACUGACGCUGAGACGCGAAAGCGUGGGGAGCAAACAGG
RNAcentral lists this ribosomal RNA (253 nucleotides) under uncultured bacterium. Its description in RNAcentral is "partial 16S ribosomal RNA". It matches the Rfam family "Bacterial small subunit ribosomal RNA", at positions 524 to 776 of the family's 1533-position model. The record is from RNAcentral.